RNAcentral lists this ribosomal RNA (779 nucleotides) under uncultured bacterium. RNAcentral's name for it is "bacterial SSU rRNA". It matches the Rfam family "Bacterial small subunit ribosomal RNA", at positions 613 to 1397 of the family's 1533-position model. The record is from RNAcentral.
ACUUGGGAGGUCACUGGAAACUGGGUAACUUGAGUAUGGUAGAGGUAAGUGGAAUUCCAAGUGGAGCGGUGGAAUGCGUAGAGAUUUGGAGGAACACCAGUGGCGAAGGCGGCUUACUGGGCCAUUACUGACGCUCAGGCACGAAAGCGUGGGGAGCAAACAGGAUUAGAUACCCUGGUAGUCCACGCCGUAAACAAUGAGUGCUAAGUAUCGGAUUUAAUUUCGGUGCUGCAGUUAACACAAUAAGCACUCCGCCUGGGGAGUACGGUCGCAAGACUGAAACUCAAAGGAAUUGACGGGGACUCGCACAAGCGGUGGAGCAUGCGGUUUAAUUCGAUGCAACGCGAAGAACCUUACCAGGUCUUGACAUCCCAUUGACCGGUCUAGAGAUAGAUCUUUUCUUCGGAACAAUGGAGACAGGUGGUGCAUGGUUGUCGUCAGCUCGUGUCGUGAGAUGUUGGGUUAAGUCCCGCAACGAGCGCAACCCUUAUCAUUAGUUGCUAACAUUAAGUUGAGCACUCUAAUGAGACCGCCGGCGAUAAGCCGGAUGAAGGUGGGGAUGACGUCAAAUCAUCAUGCCCCUUAUGACCUGGGCUACACGCGUGCUACAAUGGCUAAUACAAAGAGUUUGCAAAACUGUGAAGUCAAGCUAAUCUCAUAAAGUUAGUCUCAGUUCGGAUUGUAGUCUGCAACUCGACUACAUGAAGUUGGAAUCGCUAGUAAUCGCAAAUCAGAAUGUUGCGGUGAAUACGUUCUCGAGUCUUGUACACACCGCCCGU